GCAGCAGUGGGGAAUAUUGCACAAUGGGCGAAAGCCUGAUGCAGCGACGCCGCGUGAGGGAUGACGGCCUUCGGGUUGUAAACCUCUUUCAGCAGGGACGAAGCGCAAGUGACGGUACCUGCAGAAGAAGCACCGGCUAACUACGUGCCAGCAGCCGCGGUAAUACGUAGGGUGCGAGCGUUGUCCGGAAUUAUUGGGCGUAAAGAGCUCGUAGGCGGUUUGUCGCGUCGGCCGUGAAAACUUGGGGCUUAACUCCAAGCUUGCGGUCGAUACGGGCAGACUUGAGUUCGGCAGGGGAGACUGGAAUUCCUGGUGUAGCGGUGAAAUGCGCAGAUAUCAGGAGGAACACCGGUGGCGAAGGCGGGUCUCUGGGCCGACACUGACGCUGAGGAGCGAAAGCGUGGGGAGCGAACAGGAUUAGAUAC
Molecule: ribosomal RNA, 425 nt
Filed under: uncultured Lentzea sp.
Lineage: Bacteria; Bacillati; Actinomycetota; Actinomycetes; Pseudonocardiales; Pseudonocardiaceae
Description: bacterial SSU rRNA
Rfam family: Bacterial small subunit ribosomal RNA
Source: RNAcentral